Non-coding RNA from Bos taurus (domestic cattle), 71 nucleotides. NCBI's taxonomy places the organism in Eukaryota, Metazoa, Chordata, Mammalia, Artiodactyla, Bovidae. The record is from Rfam.
UCCCAGGUGGCUCAGUGGUAUAGUAUCUGCCUAUCAAACAGAAGAUGCAGGUUCUAUCCCUGGGUUGGGAA